ACGAACGCUGGCGGCGUGCUUAACACAUGCAAGUCGAACGGAAAGGCCCUGCUUUUGUGGGGUGCUCGAGUGGCGAACGGGUGAGUAACACGUGAGUAACCUGCCCUUGACUCUGGGAUAACUUCAGGAAACUGGGGCUAAUACCGGAUAGGAGCUCCUGCUGCAUGGUGGGGGUUGGAAAGUUUCGGCGGUUGGGGAUGGACUCGCGGCUUAUCAGCUUGUUGGUGGGGUAGUGGCUUACCAAGGCUUUGACGGGUAGCCGGCCUGAGAGGGUGACCGGCCACAUUGGGACUGAGAUACGGCCCAGACUCCUACGGGAGGCAGCAGUGGGGAAUAUUGCACAAUGGGCGGAAGCCUGAUGCAGCAACGCCGCGUGCGGGAUGACGGCCUUCGGGUUGUAAACCGCUUUCGCCUGUGACGAAGCGUGAGUGACGGUAAUGGGUAAAGAAGCACCGGCUAACUACGUG
This 467-nucleotide ribosomal RNA is filed under the name uncultured bacterium. RNAcentral describes it as "partial 16S ribosomal RNA". It matches the Rfam family "Bacterial small subunit ribosomal RNA", at positions 29 to 507 of the family's 1533-position model. The record is from RNAcentral.